UGGGUUGCCUUGUCAGGUUGAUUCCGGUAACGAACGAGACCUCAGACUGCUAAAUAGCCACAUCUGCCUCUCGCAGCUGGCCGACUUCUUAGAGGGACUAUUGUCGUUUAGGCAAUGGAAGUAUGAGGCAA
Molecule: ribosomal RNA, 131 nt
Filed under: ice core clone 143-3
Lineage: Eukaryota
Description: partial 18S ribosomal RNA
Rfam family: Eukaryotic small subunit ribosomal RNA
Source: RNAcentral